This 473-nucleotide ribosomal RNA is filed under the name uncultured bacterium. RNAcentral's name for it is "bacterial SSU rRNA". It matches the Rfam family "Bacterial small subunit ribosomal RNA", at positions 328 to 793 of the family's 1533-position model. The record is from RNAcentral.
CGCUAUCACUCCUACGGGAGGCAGCAGUAGGGAAUCUUCCACAAUGGGCGCAAGCCUGAUGGAGCAACGCCGCGUGAGUGAAGAAGGGUUUCGGCUCGUAAAGCUCUGUUGUUAAAGAAGAACACGUAUGAGAGUAACUGUUCAUACGUUGACGGUAUUUAACCAGAAAGUCACGGCUAACUACGUGCCAGCAGCCGCGGUAAUACGUAGGUGGCAAGCGUUAUCCGGAUUUAUUGGGCGUAAAGAGAGUGCAGGCGGUUUUCUAAGUCUGAUGUGAAAGCCUUCGGCUUAACCGGAGAAGUGCAUCGGAAACUGGAUAACUUGAGUGCAGAAGAGGGUAGUGGAACUCCAUGUGUAGCGGUGGAAUGCGUAGAUAUAUGGAAGAACACCAGUGGCGAAGGCGGCUACCUGGUCUGCAACUGACGCUGAGACUCGAAAGCAUGGGUAGCGAACAGGAUUAGAUACCCUGGUAG